GAAAAGGGACAUUCAGCGCCUGAUGGAUGAAGGCAUGAUCCAGAUUUGUCAAUCCCGUCAUGAAGAUGAUGAUGUUAAUGUCAUUGUUCCCGUUUUCAAGCAACCAGAGCGGUUGGUGAUGCAGUAUGAUAGUAGCACGAACGUCAGCAAUGGAUCAGUUUCGCCGUUGGUAAUAUGGUUGGCGGGCCCAGUCCAGUAUGCAUCUGAU
RNAcentral lists this long non-coding RNA (208 nucleotides) under Lathyrus oleraceus (garden pea). RNAcentral describes it as "Pisum sativum (pea) long non-coding RNA (PSAT_LNC021211)". Lineage: Eukaryota; Viridiplantae; Streptophyta; Magnoliopsida; Fabales; Fabaceae. The record is from RNAcentral.